GUGCCUGUCCUCUGCUUGACAUUGGAUGGAGAGGGAAGGAAGACACGGUAAUGUCUCUUAUUCUUACCUUGUUUUAGAACAAAAGAAAGAAAAGUCCCGGCUCAGUGGUUCCAGGCAUCCGUGGUACACUGCCUGUCAGGUCUGGACUGCUUAGCCUGGUGAGUGAGUUCAUGAUGUUUGACGUGCUAUGAAGCUGCAGGGGAAACCUGCUUGAAGUAUCUCAGUGUUCUACAACUGGGCCAUGUGCUUAUAUAGAAGAUGGUGUGCGCAGGAGGUGAUGUGCAUUGGCCCCAUGGCGCUACCUCUUGCAGCUGUCAGAAUUACUGCAGGCUAGUCAGUGGUGACAUGACUCUUUAAAAAGUCACAGUAUUAUUUCUUAGUUCAGAAAAUAGGGCCUUGGAAAAAUAUUUACUCUGGAUGCAUUUCUCACUCCCCACAACCCCCCCCCCCUAUUUACAAACCACAGAAAGGAGAGCUACCUCUGACUCAGAAAUUGGAGCUACCAUUAAAAUGCAAGUUUUAAUUUCAGAAACGUGAGGAUUUCCAUGGUUGGUGUUGCAAGGUGAGUGUGUGUGUGUGUGUGUGUGUGUGUGUGUUAGGAUUUCUAUUGCUGUGAUAAAACAUAACCAAAAUCAACUUGGGAAGGAAUAGAAUUAUUUCAGCUUACAGUUCUGCCUCACAUUCUAUCAUCAAAGAAGUCAGGGCAGGAACUUAGGUAGGGAAGAAACCUGGACACAGGAACUGAAGCAGAAGCCAUAGAUGUGUGCUGCUUGCUGACUUGCUCAUAAUGGCUUGGUCAGCUGCCUUCUUAUAGAACCCAAGACCCCCAGCCAUGGCUUGGCACAGCCUACAGUGAGCUGGGCUCUCUUGAAUCAAUCACUAAUCAAGAAAAUGCCCUACAGGUUUGCCUACAAUCCAUCCAGUGGAGGCAGUUUCUUGAUUAAGAUUCUUUCUUCCCAGAUGAUCCUCAUUUGUGUCAAGCUGACAUAAAAACUAUCCAGUACUCUGUGUGUGUGUAGAGAAACAGAGUAUUAAUGACAGUUUAUUAUUAGAUUUUCCCACUAAUAACCCCCAAACUUUAUUGGAUUAACAGAACAAUUACUCAUUCAGCUCACAAACUUCUGAGUUGACAUUGUGCACUGGACUCAGAUGGGUGGCUUUGCAUUGUCAAUGGUUCACUCUGCGUCAGAUGGAUGUGGCUUGGGGUUAGCUGGUUCAGAUUGGCCUCUGCUGCGAUGGCCGCCCUCCAAGCUCCAGUUUGGCCCAGGCUCAUUUACAUGUCGGCCUAGCACAGUUCAGAGAAGAAUUGCAGUGUGUAAGGCGUGAGUGUGCAAGAACAAGGCUACGGCGUUCCAUGGCUCAAGUAAAUUCCUGUUAGUCUAAUCCAAAAGGAUGGAAAAUUAGGCUCCACCCUCCAAUAAGAAGAACUUCAAAGUCACCAUUAAAGGGGUGUAGCUACAAGGCAAAAUAGAACAUAUUUGAUAAGAAAUGCCCAGAGAUUGGCAUCAUCCCACCAUCUCACUUCUAUCUAUGGGUACCAUCUCACUUCUAUCUAUGGGUCUGCUUUGCUUUUCCUUUUCAUAUCAUUAAUAUCUUUCAUUCUCUAUAUUUGGUAUACUCAAUACUAUACGACUUAGGGGCAUUGUCAUGCAAGCAUAUAUUAAACAUUGAGCCCAUGACAGCCUAGCUUCCCUUGCUCCCUUUCACAGCCCCAUCUUCAUUGUUAGUCAGACCCUUUUGCUUCUAUAGGCAGUUUUGUGUCUACUUUCGUGUUACAUGAACGUACAUCAUAUCAUUUUCUUC
RNAcentral lists this long non-coding RNA (1803 nucleotides) under Mus pahari (shrew mouse). Its description in RNAcentral is "predicted gene, 26638 (MGP_PahariEiJ_G0032936.1)". Lineage: Eukaryota; Metazoa; Chordata; Mammalia; Rodentia; Muridae. The record is from RNAcentral.